Spinacia oleracea (spinach) is the source of this 635-nucleotide long non-coding RNA. RefSeq lists it as uncharacterized. NCBI's taxonomy places the organism in Eukaryota, Viridiplantae, Streptophyta, Magnoliopsida, Caryophyllales, Amaranthaceae. The record is from RefSeq and is a predicted model, not a curated record. The transcript has 3 exons.
UUUAUUAUCAACAAAUUAUCAUGUUUAAUUAAGCUUAUCCAAUGGAAGUUGUUACACUAUUGAUUUUCAAAAUUAUACAUAACGUACAGCCGUCUUAAAUGUCAAUGCUUUUCAACCAGUCCAAAAAAAACAUCAAAUUUCUAAAACCUCCUAAUUUUCCAGAAAUGUGAGAGGAUAGUAAACCCUCGUGGCGCAUUCGUUGUACGAGAAAACUUCCGCGAACGAGUUACUGACUUACGAGUACACGCACAUACGGUGAUACGGAUACCAGUUUUAAAAUGAUAAGUGAAAUUGAAGAUGUCGAAGGUCACUGGUGCUCUCUUCCGACCUUUAAGUUCCAGCGAGAUCAGAGAUCACGGCAGUUGCGAUGAGAAAGACGGAGAUCUAUGAGGGUUCUGCUCAAGCUAGUGUCUAUAUAUUAAGAAAAAUCUAAUAAUACUAGAAAAUUGAGGUCAAAGCAAGACAAGUGAAUAGUGUCAAAAGGGUGUAAUUAUUUAGGAACGGAGGAAGUAUAUCCUAUGUAUGCGUAAACUCUUUUUUUUUUUACUUUAGUGAAAAUCAAUUAAACUGUAAUUCAAUAAUUUCCGCACAAAAGCGUGUUUUUGGCAUAAAUACUAUGUUGAAGAUAAUUUGAA